This 330-nucleotide ribosomal RNA is filed under the name uncultured eukaryote. RNAcentral's name for it is "partial 18S ribosomal RNA". It matches the Rfam family "Eukaryotic small subunit ribosomal RNA", at positions 1470 to 1796 of the family's 1831-position model. The record is from RNAcentral.
CCCCUAGAUGUUCUGGGCCGCACGCGUGCUACACUGAUGCAUUCAACGAGUCUAAAACCUGGUCUGAUAGGGCUGGGUAAUCUUUUGAAAGUGCAUCGUGAUUGGGAUAGAUGAUUGCAAUUCUUCAUCUUCAACGAGGAAUGCCUAGUAAACGCAAGUCAUCAGCUUGCAUUGAUUACGUCCCUGCCCUUUGUACACACCGCCCGUCGCUCCUACCGAUUGAAUGAUCCGAUGAAUACCAUGGAUUGAGAGUACGAAUAGGUUCGCUUAUUUCUGCUGCUCGAGAAGUGGAGUAAAUCUUAUCAUUUAGAGGAAGGAGAAGUCGUAACA